AACGAACGCUUGCGGUGCGCCUAAUACAUGCAAGUCGAACGAGAAAGUGCCUUCGGGUGCGAGUAAAGUGGCGGACGGGUGAGGAACACGUGGAUAACCUGCCUCUAAGAGGGGAAUAACUACUCGAAAGAGUAGCUAAUACCGCAUAAGACUACGACUUCUACGGGAGAUGUAGUAAAAGGCUUCGGCCACUUAGAGAUGGGUCCGCGUCCGAUUAGCUUGUUGGUGGGGUAAAGGCCUACCAAGGCUCCGAUCGGUAGCUGGUCUUAGAGGAUGACCAGCCACACUGGAACUGAGACACGGUCCAGACUCCUACGGGAGGCAGCAGUAGGGAAUAUUGCACAAUGGAGGAAACUCUGAUGCAGCGACACCGCGUGAGUGAUGAAGGCCUUCGGGUUGUAAAGCUCUGUGAUAGGGGAAGAUGAUGACGGUACCCUAUCAGAAAGGACCGGCUAACUUCG
This 461-nucleotide ribosomal RNA is filed under the name uncultured Bdellovibrio sp. RNAcentral's name for it is "bacterial SSU rRNA". It matches the Rfam family "Bacterial small subunit ribosomal RNA", at positions 29 to 505 of the family's 1533-position model. Lineage: Bacteria; Pseudomonadati; Bdellovibrionota; Bdellovibrionia; Bdellovibrionales; Pseudobdellovibrionaceae. The record is from RNAcentral.